Molecule: non-coding RNA, 54 nt
Filed under: unclassified sequences
Description: terC RNA
Rfam family: terC RNA
Source: RNAcentral
AAGGCGGCCCGGGCCCCUCUGGCAAGACACGUCUUGUGAUGUCGGUCCGCAUCG